Rhododendron vialii is the source of this 744-nucleotide long non-coding RNA. RefSeq lists it as uncharacterized. The transcript has 4 exons. Lineage: Eukaryota; Viridiplantae; Streptophyta; Magnoliopsida; Ericales; Ericaceae. The record is from RefSeq and is a predicted model, not a curated record.
UUUCUCUCCCUCUCUCUCUCUUGUGCAUGAAGAAGAACAGAUCACACAGACGCAAACUCUGUUUGUCUAUUUCUAUUCUCUUAUACGAAGAACUGAUUGAAGAUAGCAAGUUCGAAAUUCAAAAUACUCGAAAAGUGGUGGAAAGCUAAUUCCGAGAGGUUCAAGAUCCUUUCUCAGGUUGCACGUGAUGUUCUAUCCAUUCGGUGUCCACGGUUGCCUCUGAAUCUGCUUUUAGCACGGGAGGACGCAUCCUCGAUCCCUUCCGAAGUAAUCUAGCACCCAAGACAGUUGAGGCUCUAGUUUGUACUCAGAAUUGGUUGCGUUCUCCUGUUCGAAUUAAUAUUCGGGAUCAAUUAGAUGAACUGGAGAAAUUGGAUGAAGAGCUUACGGAAAUGGGUUCUUGCAUCACUGAUGAGUGACUCUAGAAAGGUAGAAAUAAGAAGUGGUAACUGUGGUGGUGCUGCUAGACUGCUGAUGCUGCAACUGUUGCUGUUGGGUUCCAUAGAGGACUUGGUAGCUCUUGUUUUGUUGGUGGCUCUUGUUUUUUGUGGGAACUUUUGUUGGUAUGUGUAAUUGUAAUCAAUAGGUAAACCCCAAGCAAAAUAUUUGAGUACUGAGAUGUCAAUUUAAGAACAGUGGGUAUGUUUUUUACGUAGUUGAUAUGUUUUAAGAACAGUGGGUUUAAGAAUAGUGAGUAUUGACUACUGAGAUGUGUUUUCAGUUUAUGUAUUUUAUUUUAGAAUC